UACGGAGGGUGCAAGCGUUGUUCGGAUUUACUGGGCGUAAAGGGCGCGUAGGCGGCCUCCGCAAGUCAGUUGUGAAAUCUCCGAGCUUAACUCGGAAAGGUCAACUGAUACUGCGGGGCUAGAGUGCGGAAGGGGCAACUGGAAUUCUUGGUGUAGCGGUGAAAUGCGCAGAUAUCAGGAAGAACACCUAUGGCGAAGGCAGCUCUCUGGGACGGUACUGACGCUGAGACGCGAAAGCGUGGGGAGCGAACAGG
This 254-nucleotide ribosomal RNA is filed under the name uncultured bacterium. Its description in RNAcentral is "partial 16S ribosomal RNA". It matches the Rfam family "Bacterial small subunit ribosomal RNA", at positions 524 to 776 of the family's 1533-position model. The record is from RNAcentral.